UUAGAGUUUGAUCAUGGCUCAGAACGAACGCUGGCGGCAUGCCUCAUACAUGCAAGUCGAACGAGAUCUUCGGAUCUAGUGGCGCACGGGUGAGUAACAUGUGGGAAUCUACCUGAAGGUUCGGAAUAACUGCGGGAAACUGUAGCUAAUACCGGAUGUGUCUGCAAAGAGAAAGAUUUAUCGCCUUCAGAUGAGCCCGCACUAGAUUAGCUAGUUGGUGAGGUAAUUGCUCCACCAAGGCUACGAUCUAUAGCUGAUUUGAGAGGAUGAUCAGCCACACUGGGACUGAGACACGGCCCAGACUCCUACGGGAGGCAGCAGUAGGGAAUAUUGGACAAUGGGGGAAACCCUGAUCCAGCAAUGCCGCGUGAGUGAAGAAGGCCUUCGGGUUGUAAAGCUCUUUCAUCAAUGAUGAUAAUGACAUUAGUUGAAGAAGAAGCCCCGGCUAACUUCGUGCCAGCAGCCGCGGUAAUACGAAGGGGGCUAGCGUUGUUCGGAAUCACUGGGCGUAAAGCGUAUGUAGGCGGAUCAAAAAGUUAGAUGUGAAAUCCCUGGGCUCAACCCAGGAACUGCAUUUAAAACUAGUGAUCUAGAAUUUGGUAGGGGUUAGUAGAAUUUCCAGUGUAGAGGUGAAAUUCGUAGAUAUUGGAAAGAAUACCAGUGGCGAAGGCGACUAACUGGGCCAUUUUUGACGCUGAGAUACGAAAGCGUGGGUAGCAAACAGGAUUAGAUACCCUGGUAGUCCACGCAGUAAACGAUGAGUGCUAGUCGCUGGGACAAUAGUUUCAGUGUCGAAGCUAACGCAUUAAGCACUCCGCCUGGGAAGUACGGUCGCAAGAUUAAAACUCAAAUAAAUUGACGGGGGCCCGCACAAGCGGUGGAGCAUGUGGUUUAAUUCGAAGCAACGCGAAGAACCUUACCAGACCUUGACAUGGUAUGUUUGAAUUACAGAAUCGUAAUUCUUCAGUUCGGCUGGCAUACACACAGGUGCUGCAUGGCUGUCGUCAGCUCGUGUCGUGAGAUGUUGGGUUAAGUCCCGCAACGAGCGCAACCCUCAUUUUUAGUUGCCAGCAGGUUAAGCUGGGCACUCUAAAAAAACUGCCGGUGAUAAGCUGGAGGAAGGCGGGGAUGACGUCAAGUCCUCAUGGCCCUUACGGUCUGGGCUACACACGUGCUACAAUGGUGGUGACAGUGGGCAGCAAUACUGCAAAGUAAAGCUAAUCCCAAAAAACCAUCUCAGUUCGGAUUGGACUCUGCAACUCGAGUCCAUGAAGUUGGAAUCGCUAGUAAUCGUAGAUCAGCGUGCUACGGUGAAUACGUUCUCGGGCCUUGUACACACCGCCCGUCACACCAUGGGAGUUGGUUGCACCAGAAGUGGGUAGUUUAACCUUCGGGAGAACGCUUACAACGGUGUGGUCAAUGACUGGGGUGAAGUCGUAACAAGGUA
This 1447-nucleotide ribosomal RNA is filed under the name uncultured Alphaproteobacteria bacterium. RNAcentral describes it as "uncultured alpha proteobacterium 16S ribosomal RNA". It matches the Rfam family "Bacterial small subunit ribosomal RNA". The record is from RNAcentral. Lineage: Bacteria; Pseudomonadati; Pseudomonadota; Alphaproteobacteria.